RNAcentral lists this transfer RNA (72 nucleotides) under Caudoviricetes sp. RNAcentral describes it as "tRNA-Gln". It matches the Rfam family "tRNA". From Rfam's summary of the family: Transfer RNA (tRNA) molecules are approximately 80 nucleotides in length. Their secondary structure includes four short double-helical elements and three loops (D, anti-codon, and T loops). Lineage: Duplodnaviria; Heunggongvirae; Uroviricota; Caudoviricetes. The record is from RNAcentral.
UGGGGCAUAGCCAAGUGGUAAGGCUGCGGACUUUGACUCCGCCAUACGGCGGUUCGAGUCCGCCUGCCCCAG